This 138-nucleotide transfer-messenger RNA is filed under the name Hydrogenophaga sp. RNAcentral's name for it is "partial transfer-messenger RNA". It matches the Rfam family "transfer-messenger RNA", at positions 1 to 142 of the family's 374-position model. Rfam says of the family: Bacterial tmRNA, also known as 10Sa RNA or SsrA, is named for its dual tRNA and mRNA-like properties. Its role is to liberate the mRNA from a stalled ribosome. Lineage: Bacteria; Pseudomonadati; Pseudomonadota; Betaproteobacteria; Burkholderiales; Comamonadaceae. The record is from RNAcentral.
GGGGCUGCACUGGUUUCGACGUGGGUUCGGACGCGCAGCAGGGCAUGUCGAGGUUCUGUCACCUCGUUAAACCGCAGAAAAAAAACUAACUGCAAACGACGAACGUUUCGCACUCGCCGCUUAAUUGCCGGUGAGCUU